CGCUCUCGUUUAAAGAGAACCAA
RNAcentral lists this small nuclear RNA (23 nucleotides) under Arabidopsis thaliana (thale cress). RNAcentral describes it as "snRNA_09238". Lineage: Eukaryota; Viridiplantae; Streptophyta; Magnoliopsida; Brassicales; Brassicaceae. The record is from RNAcentral.